UGACAUAUUAGCUUAAUUGGUUAAAGUGUCGUGUUAAUAACGCGAAAGUCAUAGGUUCAAUAACCAAUCCGUAAGAGAUUCAUA
This 84-nucleotide transfer RNA is filed under the name Glycine max (soybean). Its description in RNAcentral is "tRNA-Ile". Lineage: Eukaryota; Viridiplantae; Streptophyta; Magnoliopsida; Fabales; Fabaceae. The record is from RNAcentral.